GUUGCUUAAACUAAGACGUCUAUAGUAAGUUGCGUAAUUUUCUGACUUAUCUCAUAAAAUAAGCUAUUACUUAAACUUGUGAACCAAGUGAAAUUAGAGGAGUGGAUUAAAUAAAAAGUCUUCUUUGAAAAAAUCCCGGAGGAAUGUUUGUUUUACUACCACGUGUGUUACUGCGUAAUGUCCUGUCUCAAAACACUAAAGAAAUAUCACUGCCAGUCAAAGGAGAACACGUGCAAAAUGUCCGUAAUCGGUUUGAUUUUUUAUCUACUGGUGCAACUGCUUCAAAGUUUGUCGGAUGCUGUUAAUGUUAUACAGCUUCCAUCUUCGGUGCUGAAACGCGCAGGAGAAGUCGCUGAACUUACUUGUGAACAUGAUAGUAGCAGCUAUGAUCGCAUGUUCUGGUAUCAGCAAACUGGAGAAAUGAAAGAUUUGAAGCUAAUAGGGUAUUUGUUCACUACAAUCCCAGACUAUGAACAGGGUAUGCAAAAUAAAUUUACUAUUUCUGGUGAUGGAGCAAAGAAAGGAUCAUUAACGAUUUCAAAACUCAGAGCAGAAGACACCGCAACCUAUUUCUGUGCAGCCAGUCAACACGGCGAUACAGAAGGUUUUAUACCCCAUUCAAAAAAUCAGAGUUACUCACCAUCUUUUGCCUAUUCCAUUGAUCCAAUGCAAAGUCGACAUGAGUUAUUUUGUAUGUGAGAGUCAGUGCGCCCUGCAAUAGAAUGGAGCCGCUUCUGGUCUCGUUACUGUAUUGCUUCUGAAGGCUAAACAUUCGUUAGUCUGAGUACAGAUUAUUUACAUUGUAUUUAAUUAUGCUGCUUACUCUUUUGCUCUGUCACUAUUUCAUUCAAAAUCAUAUUUGCAAGUGUUUGCAAAGUUGCAAGAUCGAUUUAACAGUAACUGUCUGAACCACAUAGACCUCUUAGCUCAUACUUCUAUAUAUUCCGUUAAAUGUCUGUCCCCAAUAAUUCUCAUCGUCUCUUUCUCAAAUGUUAAUAGGACUAGUUCCGUGGAUAAAUUAAAUUCUUUCUUUCUUUCUUUCUAUAAAUCCGAAAUUCAAAUUUAGUAUUUUUUCACAUGUAACAGCAAUAUUUUGUAAGGAC
Polypterus senegalus (gray bichir) is the source of this 1103-nucleotide non-coding RNA. Lineage: Eukaryota; Metazoa; Chordata; Cladistia; Polypteriformes; Polypteridae. The record is from the annotation of a RefSeq genome assembly.